AUGACCUGGAACUGCACUAUACACCAAUCAGGCAUAACAUUAAAACCAUUGACAGGUGACGUGACUAAUCUUGAUUAUCUCGUUACAGUGAUGCCUGUCAAGGGGUGGGGUAUAUUAGGCUGCACGUGAACAGUCAGUUCUCAAAAUUGAUGUGUUGGAAGCAGGAAAAAUGGACAAGUUUAAGAUGCUGCAUCUCAAGAGGCUAUCCAACAAUAAAUUCUCAUUGACACGGGCCACAUUGUGAUGGCUAGACGACUAGGUCAAAGUAUCUCCAAAACGGCAGGUCUUCCGGGGUGUUCCCUGUAUGCAGUGGCUAGUACCUACCAAAAGUGGUCCAAGGAAGGACAACUGGUGACUGGUCAGGAGCACCCAAGGCUCACUGAUGCAUGUUGGCUGAGCAAAGGCUAGCUCGUCCGGUUCAAUUCCACAGAAGAGUUAAUGACUGUGACAGAAAGGUGUCUGAACACACAGUGCCUUGCAGCUUGCUGUGGAUGGCACUGCGUAGCUGCAGACCAGUCAGAGUGUCCAUGCUGACCCCCUGUCUACCACUGAAAGUGCCUACAGUGGGCAUGUGAGCAUCAGAACUGGACCAUGGAGCAAUGGAAGAAGGUGGCCUGGUCUGAUGAAUCACAUGUUUUGUUUUACAUCACGUGGACAGCCAGGUGUGUGUGCGUCACGUACCUAGAGUGAUUUUAAUGUUAUGAUUGACUGGUGUAUGCUUUCACUUGUGUAUAAUUUUCAGAUGUUGCCAUACCUGAGCUAUUUUUCGAGCAAUUUAUACCCACAUAGACCACCUGAGAAAAAACAAUGCCAUCUCACUGAGCUUUACGAGCGAUAUAUGGAGUUCUGCCAUUACUCCUGUCUUUGUUAAGAUUAAUAGCUCAGUGAAUUGACUGCCAUGAAUCAAUUGCACAGCCAUGUGCUUGUGGCACCUUGUUUGCCCAGUUGUUCAAUUGAAAAAAUAUUCCUGUUUUAUCUUGUUGCCUUUUUUUGGUCUGUGAAAAAAAUUUACCUGCUGCUAUUUUGUCUGAAAAUGAGCUUGCUAUUUUUUCAGAAAAUAAUAUUUGAAAAAUAUUUAAGUCAUGCAGCUUGGUCAUGCAAGAUUAGCAUGUGUUCUUUCCAGCUAUAAAAUAAUUUAACCCAUGUGCACUGUUUUUGCCUUAGAAGUGUUGCAGUACCCCUGGUAUCAUCCUUACAUAAUGCUAAUUGGUCCAUCUCUACUUUUUUAUCUGUUUACGGUUAAUGUAGCAGAACAUCUGUGAACAAGUUAAUUCCUGUUCUUACUUGCUUUAUAGUAUAUUCAAUCAUCCUCUUUUCCCUUUCUUGAAUACAAAAAAAUGCAGCAUGUCAUGUUACUAAGAAGCUACAAACUACAAAGCCUUAAAAGUUACUUCCAGUUUAAGAAAACCAGUGAGUAUGGAAAAAGCACAUACUACUUAUUCUAAGUUUGUGUAAAGCUGAAAAUGUAUGUACUGUAUGCAUGGCUUCUUUGGAUUUACACUACAUGCUACUCACUAUGCUAGAGCUACGAAGGUGACCUUGUUUCAUAAUGAAGUCAAACGCAAAGUGUGUAUGUGUGCAUGUCCUCUGAGAACUUUUAUUAUGAAGUGUUGCCCUUUCAUUCCUACAGUCAUAAAUUUUGCUGAGCUGUCUUCUAUUCUUCCACAUUGCAUUAGGUGAUGUUUGUAUACUACACCUUUAAUCCACUGGCUCAUAUUUGAGUUCUGAGAAAAGUCUCAAAUAAUGAAUCGCAUCAAAAUCUUUCUUUCUGUCUCUUGUUUUGACACACUCUCUCUCACUCCCUCUUAGUGAGUCACUUUCUAUCUCUCUAAUUAGUCUCUGUCAAUCUCUUUUGGUGAGUAUAUCCAUCUAUCCAUCUGUCUAUCUAUGCCUCUCUCUCACUCACUCACUCACUCUCUCUCAUUCUCUCCGUCAAUCUUUCUAUCUCUCUCUCUCUCUGUCAGUCAGUUUCUAUUUUCACAAUCUGUCUCUCUUUCUCUCUGUCUAUUUACCUACCUUCCUACUGUGUGUCGGUCUGUGUGAGAGAUCAAUAUAUAGAGAGCCAGAGUGAUGGAGAGACCUUUAUAGUCAGCCUCCAUAUCUCUGUCUCUCUUUAUUUAUCUCUCUCCUCAUCAGCGUCUCUCUCUGUUGGUAUGUCUAUCUGUUUCUCUGUCAUUCUUUCUCUCUCUCUUUCUCUCUAUCUUUCUCUUUUUGUUAUUUAUGUCUCUAUAAUUUGUACUUUGUGGAGUCCUGUAUAGCAUACUACUGCAUUGUGUUUCACCAUGGUCCUGAAGAAAUGACAUUUUGUUCCAAUAUGUACAGUAAUGUCAGUGAUUCCCUCUUGGCUUGCUUGUAUUUCAUGCCUUUUGUAACCGUCCCAGCGCACAUCCUCCCUCUGAACUCUUGGUCUGAAGGAAUUACUGUAAUUUUUCAACAUGUUCAUUUUUGCAAAAGACUUUGCAAUGAGCAAAGCUAGGUGUGACUCGAUCAGGUUAAAGUCUGUAGUACUUGACACGUCCAACUUGAACGUCCAAGUCGGACGCUUUGGGUCACUCACUAGAUAAGAGUGUUUCUUUUUUUUUUUUUUUUUUCCCCUUCUAAACUACUGAGCACGUCUGGGAAAUGAAAAUCCUACACAUGUUUAAACCCUUUAGAAACUUGCAGCGGUGGCUAUUACACUAUGUACCAGAUACCACCAGAAUGCUUCGGUAUCCAACUUCACCACGUUGUAACUGAGCCGCCUUCCCUGCUUUUUAAGGUCACUUCCCCUCUCUGAACCCCUGCGUCUUGCUUUCAACAGCUUCACAUUUCCUGAAUGCCAGUGUUUAACUCCUGUAUGGCUGCUGAUCAGUCUAAACCCAGCGGCCUGAACGUACUUGGGUGAAGCUUCUCAUUGGCUGGGAAGCAUGAGGUGUUUGUUAAUGUCACAGGGUAAAGUCUGAAAAGCUUGACAUACAACGUGUUGAACGUUAAAGUUCAAAGUCUUGAUUAACUCACCAUGGAGUUGAGAACAUAGCUUUUUUCUCUUUUUUUUUGAGAAAAUGCUGUACAUCAGUAACAAGUGAUUUAUUCUAAAAUGGGUGAAGCAUACUCUUUGUAGUUUUGAUUUCUUUGUAAAUACUUAUUAAAUAAAUUUACUCUCAUUAAUUUAAUGCAGUAUCAAUAGCCAUACUGUAUAUUUUUGCCCGAGAAUGAUUAAUUCUAUGUUAUUUUUCACAGGUUGAACGGAAACAAAGUUGUACACUUAAGGAAUUUGUAUGGAAAUGCUAAUCUAUCCAUUACGCACGCAGCAAAUCAGGCAUUACCUUCGGCACACAAAGGAACCCAACACAGCUCUAUUCUUUAACUUAACCUUAGUUUAUCUAUCAUUAAUUUUUCAGUUGUUUCAUCACACUGUGCCGUCUCUACAGCUUGAAGUACAGGUUUAUGUCCAUAAUACAAAAAUGUCUCAUUUAUAACAUUUACAUCAUCUCAAUCUAGAAAAUAACUCCUAUAAAGGUUGUAGCAUUUCUUGAAAAUGUGCCAUUGAAAUCUCCUUUCUGAUUGGUCAAAACAAACUUUUUACAACAGGAGCUAUGACAAUAGUUCCAGCUGUAGAACAAAUCACAGGUAAAUAUUAAUGCACUCAUUUCUAAUGUUAUUGUUUCUAUAGUAACAGCUCAUUCACAAUGACUUGUUUGGUGGAUAUGGUGGUGCCAUAUAAUCUAAGCCUAAAAAUUAAACAGAUUUAAAAUAUAAUAACUGAUAUGGAGAUUAUUUAACAUUCAUGGAAGAAGUGUUUCUAUAACGUGACAAUCCGGUGUUUUUUGUUUCUUUUCUGAAAGGGAAACCCUUGUUGUAAAGCUCUACAUAAAGCCUUUUGGGUGCUAGAUGGAACUUUUUACCUUGGAUGCUACUGGGUUUUUUUUUUUUUUUU
Long non-coding RNA from Ictalurus punctatus (channel catfish), 3916 nucleotides. RefSeq lists it as uncharacterized. The record is from RefSeq and is a predicted model, not a curated record. Lineage: Eukaryota; Metazoa; Chordata; Actinopteri; Siluriformes; Ictaluridae. The transcript has 2 exons.